This 543-nucleotide long non-coding RNA is filed under the name Malus domestica (apple). RNAcentral's name for it is "long non-coding RNA (MDOM_LNC016528)". The record is from RNAcentral. Lineage: Eukaryota; Viridiplantae; Streptophyta; Magnoliopsida; Rosales; Rosaceae.
AAGAUCAGUACGUGCUGUGUCUUCUCUCAGGGAGAGUGACUAGUCUCGAGUCAUUGGUGUGUGUGAUAUCAAGACAAGUACGUAGGUGCUCAAUAGAGAAUGAGUUCACUGAACAUGAUCAACGAAGAGUUCUCAUAUUCAUGUCACAUGAGAACUCAUGGUUGGGAUAAUACAAAGUAGUCCUUUGACCUGAGGCAUCACGUUUGUCUUGUGGUUAAGUCCUUGAUCUUUGAUUAUGUCAAAGUCACCCCAUCCGCGGGUGUCCACGGCAUCGUUGGGGUUAAGCCACUUAGCUAUGGAGGCAAGUGAAUGCGCAACAAGGGAUCUCUAACCUUCAAACCGUUUGGGGGAGAAUACUUUAUGAUAUGAUUAAGAAUCUCUGGCCAGAGCAUGAAUGAGAUUUAGAAAAGUCGUUCCAAAUCACAUUCAAGGUAAUCAUAUAAGCACACGAAUCACAUUGGAUAGUAGAUAUGAAUAAACUAUCAAACCAAACAAUGUGGUCAAGAGUAUUGUAUUAGAGAAAGACCGUAUUGCAUUUGUAAU